UAACUGAAGAGUUUGAUCAUGGCUCAGAUUGAACGCUGGCGGCAGGCUUAACACAUGCAAGUCGAGCGGGGGAAGGUAGCUUGCUACCGGACCUAG
Molecule: ribosomal RNA, 96 nt
Filed under: Acinetobacter baumannii
Lineage: Bacteria; Pseudomonadati; Pseudomonadota; Gammaproteobacteria; Moraxellales; Moraxellaceae
Description: partial 16S ribosomal RNA
Rfam family: Bacterial small subunit ribosomal RNA
Source: RNAcentral